UACGGAGGGUGCAAACGUUGCUCGGAAUCAUUGGGCGUAAAGCGCACGUAGGCGGCCUGACAAGUCGGGUGUGAAAGCCCUGGGCUCAACCCAGGAAGUGCACUCGAAACUGCCAGGCUUGAAUAUGGAAGAGGGUCGCGGAAUUCCCGGUGUAGAGGUGAAAUUCGUAGAUAUCGGGGGGAACACCAGUGGCGAAGGCGAGUCCCUGGACACUUCCUGACACUGAGGCACGAAAGCUAGGGGAGCAAACAGG
This 253-nucleotide ribosomal RNA is filed under the name uncultured bacterium. RNAcentral's name for it is "partial 16S ribosomal RNA". It matches the Rfam family "Bacterial small subunit ribosomal RNA", at positions 524 to 776 of the family's 1533-position model. The record is from RNAcentral.